Molecule: ribosomal RNA, 252 nt
Filed under: uncultured bacterium
Lineage: Bacteria
Description: partial 16S ribosomal RNA
Rfam family: Bacterial small subunit ribosomal RNA
Source: RNAcentral
UACGUAGGGGGCAAGCGUUGUCCGGAAUCAUUGGGCGUAAAGCGCGUGUAGGCGGUUCGGUAAGUCGGCUGUGAAAGUCCAGGGCUCAACCCUGGGAUGCCGGUCGAUACUGCCGGACUAGAGUUCGGAAGAGGCGAGUGGAAUUCCCGGUGUAGCGGUGAAAUGCGCAGAUAUCGGGAGGAACACCAAUGGCGAAGGCAGCUCGCUGGGACGUUACUGACGCUGAGACGCGAAAGCGUGGGGAGCAAACAG